AUGUAUGGCAAGCCUGUCCGCCGCAUCGGCGACGGCUAUGUUGAUAACGUUACACCAGAAACCGUGAAGGAGGACAUACUCCUCCUGCUCGAUGACAUCCAUGGCUUCUACAAGGCGGCGCUCGAUCGGUUGCCUGUAAAGAGGAUGCCCGCGCUGGCUCCCUGCCUUCUCAAGGCCGGCGUGGGCUUCGGCUUCCUCGACCCAGUCUCCAAUAUCAUCCUCAACACCAUCGCCUACUUGCAGCGGUUGCCCAGCACCGAGAGUCAACAAGGGGCUACUAGAAAUAGAAAGUCGAUCUUCUCCAAGAUCUCCACUGACACUCGGGAUCGCAGAAUUUUCCGGAUACUGCUGCCCAGACACAUGGCGAACGCCAUGACCAUCGCGCGGCUGUCGCUGGAAGGUCUGGUCAGCUUCCUCCUGUUCCACUUCCGCUACCUCGCGGAGACGGAAGCCCUGCGCUACCUGCGCCUGGCCAGGGCCGACCUUCUCGCCGCCGUGCAUCUCAUCGACCAAGAUCGUAACAAGUCGUGCUCAGCGUCUAGCAUUGCCAAGAUUCACAACAAGCCCGUGUUCGACAUUACAUCUCCAACCUCCAAGAUUGCCCUGGAGUGUGCCGCUACCUCUGCAAGGCACCCUGAACCGGCCAUCCUGGUGAACGCGUCGCUAUCGGCGGUAUCUCGGCUGAGCAAGGUCUCUAACCUUUUGCAGGUGCAUCGCCUGCCCCCUCGAACUAUAAGGCGCCUGGAGCUGUUGCUCAGGCGAGAGCCUAAAGUCAUGGAUCAAAUGGCCAUAAGGCGUCCGCUGAAUCUUGCUGGGUCACGUCUCCGUGAUGGAAAGGAGGUGAAGAGGGAUCUUGCUGGAUCUAUGGUGAGCGUUGCACAUGGGAAGGUAGAGAUCGAUGUGACUGUGACAUUUAGAUACACAGAGUCUCUUAAGCUGUUGCUUCUCGACAAGAUCCACAUGCUCUAUCUAGAGGCACUUUCUAAGCUGCCUAGGGAUAGCUUGCGCAAACAGCACCAUUGCAACCUUCUCAGGGCUGGUUAUUGCUAUGGUCUCAUGGAACCUGUCUCCAACAUUUUAUGGCCUCAAACCAUUUCGCGGAAUCUGGGGGCAUGGAAGCAGCUGUUAAUUCAUGGCACCCUCACCCUAAAGCACUGGAGAAAUUCAUCCUGUCAGCCCUGA
This 1182-nucleotide ribosomal RNA is filed under the name Triticum aestivum (bread wheat). RNAcentral describes it as "partial small subunit ribosomal RNA". The record is from RNAcentral. Lineage: Eukaryota; Viridiplantae; Streptophyta; Magnoliopsida; Poales; Poaceae.